RNAcentral lists this ribosomal RNA (450 nucleotides) under uncultured bacterium. RNAcentral describes it as "partial 16S ribosomal RNA". It matches the Rfam family "Bacterial small subunit ribosomal RNA", at positions 354 to 796 of the family's 1533-position model. The record is from RNAcentral.
GUGGGGAAUAUUGGACAAUGGGCGAAAGCCUGAUCCAGCCAUGCCGCGUGUGUGAAGAAGGUCUUCGGAUUGUAAAGCACUUUAAGUUGGGAGGAAGGGCAGUAAGUUAAUACCUUGCUGUUUUGACGUUACCGACAGAAUAAGCACCGGCUAACUUCGUGCCAGCAGCCGCGGUAAUACGAAGGGUGCAAGCGUUAAUCGGAAUUACUGGGCGUAAAGCGCGCGUAGGUGGUUUUGUAAGUUGGAGGUGAAAUCCCCGGGCUCAACCUGGGAACUGCUUUCAAAACUGCUGAGCUAGAGUACGGUAGAGGGUGGUGGAAUUUCCUGUGUAGCGGUGAAAUGCGUAGAUAUAGGAAGGAACACCAGUGGCGAAGGCGACCACCUGGACUGAUACUGACACUGAGGUGCGAAAGCGUGGGGAGCAAACAGGAUUAGAUACCCCGGUAGUCC